AAGAGAGGUAAAGAGGGAUUUUUACCUCCAGGCAUAGAGGAAGGAGAGCUGAGAAGUCCGCAGGAACAAACCUUGUGACUUUUCACUACUUUACUGCGACUGCCCAGAUUCCGCUCAGAAUUCCAUAAUUCCAUAUUAUUCCAAGGCCCAAAGAGCUUUUCCUUAUUUUGCCAAAUCCUCACAGAUGUAUUCUUUCUUUUCCUAAAAAGCAUAAAAACAAUCUGCAUUAGUUAUUUCUCCAGGGCUCCCUUUCAUGAUGGGUUGUGGAUGCAUGUAAUUACAAGCUAGGAUUUGUUUCUGCUGUCAUAUUUCUUAGUCAAUCUGAAUGUUAGUCCAGGUAAAAUAAUCUUGAAUAUUAAAGGAAAAUUAUUCCUCUCGCCACAUUUUUCCAUAAAGUCCUAAAUAACACAAGCGCACAAUCAGACAUCUCAAGAAUGCUUUCCAGGUGGUUGUACUCAACAAUCCCACAACAGUUACUGAAAAACCCAAGUUUGGCUGCCAGUCGCAUUAAAAGCCAAGACACAGGCAUGAGUUUUGAUUGGAAAGGAACAGGAGGUGUGGUGUAUUCAGGAGGCCGGCCACUUGGGAAGAAGGUGGAGUCUUGUCCAAAAACCAGCUCUAAGGUUUCUGCCCGGCCCAACGAUUUUUAAAGGACCACCACGUCAGUUAAUCAGUACAAAGGGGGCCACAGGAAUCUGUACCACUAUUUGAGAGCAGACUCCCGGCGGCUCCCUGUACACAUGAAGGAGGUGCUGGGCAGGGUAUGAUGGUGCCCAGGGCGAGCUUGUGCAGGACAGUUCAGUUGCUCUCUCCUUUCUCCUGUGCAUAUGCUUGCCCCUUUCUGAAAUGCUACAUCCCCAACCCCUUCUUAAGUCACAGUGGCAUGUAAGCAUCAGUCGCCUGUCUUUGAGCCUCAUGUCUCUGAGGCUUCGCUAAGACAUCACUUUCUUUUUCCCUUGUGAAUCUGUCUUAUGUCCACUUACAUAUUAGAGCGGUCAAGGAAUUGAGAAUGGAGGAAGAAACACGUGUUCCUCUUCUUCACAUUCUGCUGUCAAAACCUGACCUCCCUGCUUCGGAGCCAAAAUAGAACGUGAAGAUGGAGCUGGGGAUCAAGAGGAACAACAGGUUAAUUCCUUCACCAGCAAGAGAGGCUGCAGCAGCUUUAUGUGUUUACGUGGUUUCAGUUCAGUCACCAGGACAGCUGUAGGAAGACCACUUCAUUUUUCCUGAGAGAAACAACUCCGUAUUUUCUAUAAUGGCUACUGACACAAAGAGCAAGGAAACUGGACCUUUUCUGCAUUUCAAAGUCCUGCCUGCAGGCAACACAUUCAUGGUUGGAGAUGCCCUGUUGGGGCUUUAAAGGCAUUUUCUCCUGCUGCAGCUGUGAUUUCUCCUGGAAUCCUUCUCAGCGAGAAGUGCAGAGGACAAGGUGAAGAAGAAAUGGCCAGUUCUCAGGUAAGCCUUGCGUGCGAGUUCUGAGGCUCUGUCGUCCUUUUCUAGAGAAAUUCCUUACAUUUAGAAAUUGUUACUAUUGAUUUUUUUCUAGUUCUGAUGUUUCUGCUCUAUGUUUACACCCAGUUUUCAAACCUUUUCAGACAUGAUACUCAAAUUCGGUCUUUAGAACCCUUCUCUCCUAUCAGCCAGAGCCUUUUCUCCCUUCUCUCCAACCGGGCUUAGAGUAGGCCUUCAAGAGUUGUCACUUUGAAUGAAAGACCUGCCUGCUGGUAUUGUAAAU
This is a long non-coding RNA of Ailuropoda melanoleuca (giant panda), 1735 nucleotides long. RefSeq lists it as uncharacterized. The transcript has 3 exons. NCBI's taxonomy places the organism in Eukaryota, Metazoa, Chordata, Mammalia, Carnivora, Ursidae. The record is from RefSeq and is a predicted model, not a curated record.